AGCGAGAAUACUUCCGCAAUGGGACGAAAGCCUGACGGAGCCACGCCGCGUGAACGAUGAAGGCCUUCGGGUCGUAAAGCUCUGUUGUUAGGGAGGAACAAGUGCUAGUUUAUUAAUUGGGCCCCUUACCGUACCCAAACCAAAAGCCCCCGGCUACUUACUUGCCCCCACCCCUAGAAAUAAAAAA
This 187-nucleotide ribosomal RNA is filed under the name uncultured Bacillus sp. Its description in RNAcentral is "partial 16S ribosomal RNA". It matches the Rfam family "Bacterial small subunit ribosomal RNA", at positions 353 to 530 of the family's 1533-position model. Lineage: Bacteria; Bacillati; Bacillota; Bacilli; Caryophanales; Bacillaceae. The record is from RNAcentral.